GAUGAACGCUGGCGGCGUGCCUAAUACAUGCAAGUCGAGCGAACGGACGAGAAGCUUUCUUCUCUGAUGUUAGCGGCGGACGGGUUAGUAACACGUGGAUAACCUACCUAUAAGACUGGGAUAACUUCGGGAAACCGUAGCUAAUACCGGAUGAUAUUUUGAACCGCAUGGUUCAAAAGUGAAAGACGGUCUUGCUGUCACUUAUAGAUGGAUCCGCGCUGCAUUAGCUAGUUGGUAAGGUAACGGCUUACCAAGGCAACGAUGCAUAGCCGACCUGAGAGGGUGAUCGGCCACACUGGAACUGAGACACGGUCCAGACUCCUACGGGAGGCAGCAGUAGGGAAUCUUCCGCAAUGGGCGAAAGCCUGACGGAGCAACGCCGCGUGAGUGAUGAAGGUCUUCGGAUCGUAAACCUCUGUUAUUAGGGACGAACAUAUGUGUAAGUAACUGUGCACAUCUUGACGGUACCUAAUCAGAAAGCCACGGCUAACUACGUG
This 497-nucleotide ribosomal RNA is filed under the name uncultured bacterium. RNAcentral's name for it is "partial 16S ribosomal RNA". It matches the Rfam family "Bacterial small subunit ribosomal RNA", at positions 28 to 507 of the family's 1533-position model. The record is from RNAcentral.